UAUGCGAAAAACAAACCUUAGCUAGCAGUAUCCUGAGUAGGGCGGGACACGAGAAAUCCUGUCUGAAGCUGGGUCGACCACGAUCCAACCCUAAAUACUAAUACCAGAUCGAUAGUGCACAAGUACCGUGAGGGAAAGGUGAAAAGAACUGAGGUGAUCAGAGUGAAAUAGAACCUGAAACCAUUUGCUUACAAUCAUUCAGAGCCCUAUGUAGCAAUACAGGGUGAUGGACUGCCUUUUGCAUAAUGAGCCUGCGAGUUGUGGUGUCUGGCAAGGUUAAGCAAACGCGAAGCCGUAGCGAAAGCGAGUCUGAAUAGGGCGCUUAGUCAGAUGCUGCAGACCCGAAACGAAGUGAUCUAUCCAUGAGCAAGUUGAAGCUAGUGUAAGAACUAGUGGAGGACUGAACCCAUAGGCGUUGAAAAGCCCCGGGAUGACUUGUGGAUAGGGGUGAAAGGCCAAUCAAACUUCGUGAUAGCUGGUUCUCUCCGAAAUAUAUUUAGGUAUAGCGUUGUGUCGUAAUAUAAGGGGGUAGAGCACUGAAUGGGCUAGGGCAUACACCAAUGUACCAAACCCUAUCAAACUCCGAAUACCUUAUAUGUAAUCACAGCAGUCAGGCGGCGAGUGAUAAAAUCCGUCGUCAAGAGGGAAACAACCCAGACUACCAGCUAAGGUCCCUAAAUCUUACUUAAGUGGAAAACGAUGUGAAGUUACUUAAACAACCAGGAGGUUGGCUUAGAAGCAGCCAUCCUUUAAAGAAAGCGUAAUAGCUCACUGGUCUAGUGAUUUUGCGCGGAAAAUAUAACGGGGCUAAAGU
This 814-nucleotide ribosomal RNA is filed under the name Campylobacter coli. RNAcentral describes it as "partial 23S ribosomal RNA". It matches the Rfam family "Bacterial large subunit ribosomal RNA", at positions 376 to 1188 of the family's 2925-position model. The record is from RNAcentral. Lineage: Bacteria; Pseudomonadati; Campylobacterota; Epsilonproteobacteria; Campylobacterales; Campylobacteraceae.